This 253-nucleotide ribosomal RNA is filed under the name uncultured bacterium. RNAcentral describes it as "partial 16S ribosomal RNA". It matches the Rfam family "Bacterial small subunit ribosomal RNA", at positions 524 to 776 of the family's 1533-position model. The record is from RNAcentral.
UACGUAGGGUGCAAGCGUUAAUCGGAAUUACUGGGCGUAAAGCGUGCGCAGGCGGUUUUGUAAGUUUGUCGUGAAAGCCCCGGGCUCAACCUGGGAAUGGCGAUGAAGACUGCAAGGCUUGAAUCUGGCAGAGGGGGGUAGAAUUCCACGUGUAGCAGUGAAAUGCGUAGAGAUGUGGAGGAACACCGAUGGCGAAGGCAGCCCCCUGGGUCAAGAUUGACGCUCAUGCACGAAAUCGUGGGGAGCAAACAGG